GGGUCUUCUAUUGGAUAAUGGUUAGUUUGAACCUAACUUUAGGGUGUUCGACUCACUCAAGGCCUU
RNAcentral lists this transfer RNA (66 nucleotides) under Paratapes textilis (textile venus clam). RNAcentral describes it as "Paphia textile (textile venus clam) tRNA-Ser". Lineage: Eukaryota; Metazoa; Mollusca; Bivalvia; Venerida; Veneridae. The record is from RNAcentral. RNAcentral also lists the same sequence under 1 other name.